Unclassified non-coding RNA from Myotis lucifugus (little brown bat), 332 nucleotides. It matches the Rfam family "Nuclear RNase P". Rfam says of the family: Ribonuclease P (RNase P) is a ubiquitous endoribonuclease, found in archaea, bacteria and eukarya as well as chloroplasts and mitochondria. NCBI's taxonomy places the organism in Eukaryota, Metazoa, Chordata, Mammalia, Chiroptera, Vespertilionidae. The record is from Ensembl.
GGCGGAGGGAAGCUCAUUGGUGGGGCUACGCGCUGAGUGCACCUCGUCACUCUACCCCAUGUCCCCUGGGAAGGUCUGAGACUGGGGCCAAGAGCGGCCCUAACAGGGCCCUCCCUGAGCAGCGGGGAGGUGAGUUCCCAGAGAACGGGUCUCCGCGCGAGGGCAGACUGGGCAGGAGAUGCCACGGACCCCGCCCUCGGGAGGGGCCUGGCGGAUGCCUCCUCAAGCGGAGCUUGGAACAGACUCACGGCCAGCAAAGUGAGUUCAAUGGCUGAGGUGAGGCACUCCGCAAGGGGGCCUCAUAACCCAAUUCAGACUACUCUCCCGCCGUC